This 251-nucleotide ribosomal RNA is filed under the name uncultured prokaryote. Its description in RNAcentral is "partial 16S rRNA". It matches the Rfam family "Bacterial small subunit ribosomal RNA", at positions 525 to 775 of the family's 1533-position model. The record is from RNAcentral.
ACGGAGGGGGCUAGCGUUGUUCGGAAUUAUUGGGCGUAAAGGGCGCGUAGGCGGGCUGUUAAGUUGGAGGUGAAAUCCCUGGGCUCAACCCUGGAACUGCAUUCAAAACUAUCACUCUGGAGUUCGGGAGAGGAGAGUGGAAUUCCGAGUGUAGAGGUGAAAUGCGUAGAUAUUCGGAAGAACACUAGUGGCGAAGGCGGCUCACUGGCUCGGUACUGACGCUGAUGCGCGAAAGCGUGGGGAGCGAACAG